This is a non-coding RNA of Peromyscus maniculatus bairdii (prairie deer mouse), 651 nucleotides long. The record is from RefSeq and is a predicted model, not a curated record. NCBI's taxonomy places the organism in Eukaryota, Metazoa, Chordata, Mammalia, Rodentia, Cricetidae.
UGGGAGUUUCCCUUGGAAGCGCCUUUCUCUGUGGUCGGCUAGUCUGUGCCUGACCGCAAAGGCGUAACCUCCAAGCUGGGACCCCCUCACUCGAGGAUGGGCCACCUGCCAGGAGAUGGGGAAGCUGUGGUUCAGCACCCACCUCUUCCCCACCAUUUCUCAACAUCCGUGUGCAGUCUGUGUCUCCACGGGCUGGGUGGCUCAGCAACGCUCAGCGGGAGCUCUACAGAGAUGACCUGAAGCUGAGUCAUGAUGUCCCGAGGCCAGAGCUGCUACCUUAUAAAAACACAUCGCCCCGAAGCCGACUAGGUCCAGAAACACGGAAUAGCAGGAAGAAAGGCCUGGCGUCUAGGUGUACCCCGUCAACUGAGACACACUAGUGCUCCUGGCUCUCAGAAGGUGAGCCCCUCGAAGCAGCCUUGUCUUCCCACAUCUGGAAGGUUACCAGAGCGUGACUUCAGGAAGUGACGUGGGCCUCACUCCAGUCUGAGGCUUCAGGGCCGCUUUCCCAUUACUGUUCUCUGGAGCUGACCCCGUGGACCCCUGGGGUGUUGGGGGGGGGCAGUGUGGAGCUGAGCACCUUGCCCUGGACUUACCUUCGGUGAACAGCGGCAUUCCAAUAAACAGAACUUCUGUCCUUUCUCAAGCUAA